Long non-coding RNA from Eupeodes corollae, 1222 nucleotides. RefSeq lists it as uncharacterized. The record is from RefSeq and is a predicted model, not a curated record. The transcript is spliced from 3 exons. Lineage: Eukaryota; Metazoa; Arthropoda; Insecta; Diptera; Syrphidae.
GCCACAUAUAUAGCAAUAGAAAAGCAAUAUAGCACGUCGAGUCGAGUAGGGUCGGUCGAGUUAGUCGAGCACACGAGUAUCAAACUUUUAGUCGUAUCAUUUUCAUAAUUUAAAGCGUGAGCCAUGAAUCCAUAAAUCCAAAUCCGAAAAAUAAAAAAAAUGUGCUAAUUUUCUCAUAACCCUCGACGCGACAUAAAAGUUGGGCAGGAAAUUUUCGGCAUUUUUUUUUGUAAUAAAAUUUUUUCCUCGCGGAUUAAAGAGCGCAAAUCAAAAAUUGAAACUUUCAAAGCAGAAAAAGAACACAUUUUUCACUCGCCGCCCAGUGUGUGAAAAAAAGUUGUCGAAGGUGCGUGAAUCAUUGAAGAGCUGAACUGCUUACCCUUAAUCAAGUAAAGUGUGGUCAGGAUAAAGCAACAAAUUUUCAAACUAAAUUCUUAGAACCAAAACCAAACCAAGAUAAAGAAAAUAAAAUGCCACAUCACUGCGUUCUAACAUCUUGCUCUAGCCAUUACAACUGCAUACAUGACAUCCACAUUUGCUACCACAAAUACAAGUACUGCAGCCAUUCCUGCUGUACCUGCAGUUGCUAUCACCGACAUAGAUGCUGCUAUUGUUGGAGAAGAUCAACAUCAACUGACCGUUUAUUUCAUUCCAUUUAGAUAGUAGACAAAAAUCUCCAAAACACCCAUGUACGUCAUUAGGAAGAUAGUUCAAAAUACGACUGCACAUUUUCGAUGGAAUUCAACAACCAACACAGUAAAAAAAAGGAAGAUACAAAAUAUUCAUCAAAUCAUCGUCAAUCAAAGUACAAAGCACCAAAAUCCAAACCUUGUGUCAUUCUUCUUUGCUAUGAAUAAAGUGUGAAUCGAUAUAACACAAUGCACUCAAAUAGAGGAAAACAAAAUAUUCAAUUAUUAAAAAAAAAAACAAGUUCUUCAAAAGGUUUUUGAUGCAUAGAAAACCUGACACGAAGGAAGUUCCAUAAUUGAAUAGUUAUCAAACAGAUUUUAUCAAAAAUUGUACGUGUAUUUAUAUAAUUUGUGAAAAAAGGAUCCUUUUAAAUAGUAACUCAUUUGCAGAACACAUUUUCAAGGUAUCACAUAUGAACUUAUAAUAUUUUAUAUUUUAAUAAUAAGUUUAAGUGUUAUUAUUUCCUAAUUUGCCUACGCUUAAGCGAGUUUGAUUUUUUUUUUUGUUGAAAUCACAUUCACUCGAUUAAUAA